GCGAAGAAAAUGUAGGCACGAAACGACCAAUUGGUUUCUCGGCGUUGGUUACUAUCGCUUUUUUCCAAUACCCAAGAAAUUAUAUGGUAUUGACGAAACCUAGAAAAUAUGCUGCUGAGAUGAACGAAGAGUCUAGUAAAUAGAUGAUCUAAGAGAUCCAAAUGUUCAAAAUUCCUGGUAGAAAAAUACAUUCUGCCUUUGAAGAAGAAGAAUAUUACAUUUGUAUCAUACAACAAGGCCCUUGGAUAUA
This is a long non-coding RNA of Pieris napi, 250 nucleotides long. RefSeq lists it as uncharacterized. The record is from RefSeq and is a predicted model, not a curated record. NCBI's taxonomy places the organism in Eukaryota, Metazoa, Arthropoda, Insecta, Lepidoptera, Pieridae. The transcript has 2 exons.